UACUGAGGAUGCAAGCGUUAUCCGGAUUUAUUGGGUUUAAAGGGUGCGCAGGUUGUUUGAUAAGUCAGUGGUGAAAGUCUGUCGCUUAACGGUAGGAUUGCCAUUGAUACUGUUAGACUUGAAUAUGGAUGAUGUAGGCGGAAUGUGUAGUGUAGCGGUAAAAUGCAUAGAUAUUACACAGAACACCGAUUGCGAAGGCAGCUUACUAAUCCAUCAUUGACGCUGAGGCACGAAAGCGUGGGGAUCAAA
This 249-nucleotide ribosomal RNA is filed under the name uncultured prokaryote. RNAcentral's name for it is "partial 16S ribosomal RNA". It matches the Rfam family "Bacterial small subunit ribosomal RNA", at positions 524 to 772 of the family's 1533-position model. The record is from RNAcentral.